RNAcentral lists this ribosomal RNA (468 nucleotides) under uncultured bacterium. Its description in RNAcentral is "partial 16S ribosomal RNA". It matches the Rfam family "Bacterial small subunit ribosomal RNA", at positions 28 to 507 of the family's 1533-position model. The record is from RNAcentral.
GAUGAACGCUGGCGGCGUGCUUAACACAUGCAAGUCGAACGGAAAGGCCAGUGCUUGCACUGGUACUCGAGUGGCGAACGGGUGAGUAACACGUGGGUGAUCUGCCCUGCACUUCGGGAUAAGCCUGGGAAACUGGGUCUAAUACCGGAUAGGACAAUGGUUUGGAUGCCGUUGUGGAAAGUUUUUUCGGUGUGGGAUGAGCUCGCGGCCUAUCAGCUUGUUGGUGGGGUAAUGGCCUACCAAGGCGUCGACGGGUAGCCGGCCUGAGAGGGUGUACGGCCACAUUGGGACUGAGAUACGGCCCAGACUCCUACGGGAGGCAGCAGUGGGGAAUAUUGCACAAUGGGCGCAAGCCUGAUGCAGCGACGCCGCGUGGGGGAUGACGGCCUUCGGGUUGUAAACUCCUUUCGCUAGGGACGAAGCGUAUUUGUGGCGGUACCUGGAGAAGAAGCACCGGCUAACUACGUG